UUAUUUUCUUCCCCCGUACGCCUCUCUCUCUCCCGUUCUCUCCUCUCUCUCGGCUCUCACCUCUCUCACCUUCUCUCUUCGAUUUCAUCGACCGCGAGUGAGACUUUUGAAAAAUAUCAAGUACUAAAGUUGUUCUACGCGACGAGAGCUUCCUAUCCAUCGAAGAAAAUUCACGAUCGGAGCACUUCGAAAUUUCCUCCAUGUUCGGGCUUGCUUCUAACCUUCGAGGAAGUUCGAGUCGUCACGUGGAUCGAGGUGAGUGAUUUAAUACUUAAACACAUGGUUUUGAACUUGUUUUCCUUAUCGAGCUUAUUUGAACAUGUUUUAUAAAUUAUGUACUCCAUGGAUAACAAUGAAAGGUGGACUUAUUUGUGAAAUAUUUGCGAAUCUAUUUAAUGGCAUUCCCAACGUCCGGUCUUGCUAGGGGACGGCUUAAUGGCUAGCAAGGGUGUUUGAGGUUGGUAUUUGUUUUGGGAUAAUGCGUAGACGUCUGGCUUAUCCACUACUGGGGACGCCCGGUAGCUUUUGAAUUUUGAAUAGCGGAAUGUGCAUUAUAUUUGGCUUAUGAUUUUGAGUUCUUUGUUUUGAAAUAUUAUCAAAUUAUUUUGCAUUGUCCAUGGAAGGCAUGUGAGUUAAGUAUUAAUCAUUCACACGAGCUUUGGCUUAAGUAUUUUCUUUUCCACCUUUCAGGAAGCGACGCGUAGUGUGGCAGAGUGUUUACUUUAGUUUGUAAAUUUGUAGGUAAGCACAGCUCUGAGAGGAUUAUCCUUUUGGUUUGUAAACCUAUGUAAGACUUUGGUUUGUUAUCAAUAAAAGUUAACUUUUGCUUC
Molecule: long non-coding RNA, 830 nt
Organism: Rhododendron vialii
Lineage: Eukaryota; Viridiplantae; Streptophyta; Magnoliopsida; Ericales; Ericaceae
Exons: 2
Source: RefSeq, a predicted model, not a curated record